AAUAUCUUCUUCUUACGGAGUCGCAAGGAAAGAAAUUUCAAAACUUUUCUUUCAAUUCACGGUAUUGAUGGAUUUGGAUUCCUAUCAUUAUGCAUCGAAUACCGAAAUUCUUAAUUCAUAGGUCAGAACAAAGAAAAACCCGAAUGAAAUCCAGCUCCAAUUCCGGCGGAAGUCGCCGCCAAGCCGCCUCCAAGCAGAAGCUGCCGAGACUCGAGCGUCGGAACGCNAUGAAAUCCAGCUCCAAUUCCGGCGGAAGUCGCCGCCAAGCCGCCUCCAAGCAGAAGCUGCCGAGACUCGAGCGUCGGAACGCCAAUAAUAACAUCAAUUACGAGUUAUAUCCCUCUACGCCCUCAACAUCGUCUUCAUCAUACUA
RNAcentral lists this long non-coding RNA (373 nucleotides) under Olea europaea (common olive). Its description in RNAcentral is "long non-coding RNA (OEUR_LNC012080)". The record is from RNAcentral. Lineage: Eukaryota; Viridiplantae; Streptophyta; Magnoliopsida; Lamiales; Oleaceae.